Long non-coding RNA from Felis catus (domestic cat), 10424 nucleotides. RefSeq lists it as uncharacterized. The transcript has 2 exons. Lineage: Eukaryota; Metazoa; Chordata; Mammalia; Carnivora; Felidae. The record is from RefSeq and is a predicted model, not a curated record.
GCCGCCGCGGGCCCCUCCGCUCCUCGCGGCGGCCGCGGGGGCUCUGAGCCCGGGCGCUCGGCCUGAGGCAGGGGCGGCUCGGAGGGGCGGCGGAGGCCUCCGCCCGCACGCGUCCCCGAACGCGGCGCGGACGAGCGGCCGGCAACCGGCUCCGGCCAGAGCGAGGAGGUGCCGGCCCGCCAGCCGAGUCACGCGCGGAGCGACGGAAGAAAGAAGGGAACGGCCGGGGUCCCCCACUCGGGCGGGACUUCGGGCAAGGCCGCCAACAGCCGCGCUGCCCGACAGCGCCACCCGUGCCGGCGGAGGUGGCGUGCGUUGGGGCUGUCCCAGACGGGAGUCACCCGCCACCCAGCGCGCCUUCGCUCUCCAGACGUGACGUGACGUGACGUGACGUGACGUGACGGGCGCGGCCGAGGCUCGAGGCGCCGUCCGUCUCCGUCCAACUGGAAACGGCACCCGCGGUCCGCAGCCACGGCCCUGGACCGCGCGGGUCAGGCUCCCCUGUCCCUUCGGCCUCCCGGGAGCCCCUCUUCGGUCGCGACGCUUGUUUCGGUUGCAAAACCCAAGAGACCGUGAUAGGAUCUGCGGCUCACUUGCACGGGCACGGCGCCGCCGCGGCACGGGCACCCGGUCGCCACGACUCCUGCCCGCGCCCCCCACCCCACGGCUCCCCGUCGGGCGGGAGGACGGCGCUUCGCGCAAAGGGAGAAACGAGGCAGCCCACGCCCAGCGACGGUCUCGGUAGUGAGAAGGGAGACGGCCAGAGACUAAACGAUCCUCCCACCUGCAAGAAAAGUGGGUGUCCGCAAACCGGACGCAAACACCACAGGCCCGCCUGAAGUUAAACCCGGGGACGGCUCAGAGAAAACGAAGGCCGCGGAAGGAAGCGAGCCAGCGGACUCUUCCGUACGCUGACGUCCAGCCACGUAUCAAGUUACUACUCUUGCGGGAACAGAAGUCUCCCUACGGUGAAUAUUCUGUGCUAUCCGUCAUAGGACGCUGCAACCGUUGUACAGGGUUACGUCUUCUCUGCUUCAAUCCCUGGCUAGUUAUACAGACGGUAUGUUAUAGAAGAUAAAUACAGUCGGUUCAAGUCCUGCGAGUGCAAGUACAUCUCAAGGAUUACAGCUGGGCUGCGUAUCCCUUCCUUCCUGAGACCACUCACAGGUAUGUAAUUAUGGCGUCAAGUGAGAAUACACACGCAUGUAUGUACAGACAUGGCCACCCUAAUGAAACCUCCUGGUUUUCUUUAACGUAGCGAUAUUUACUAAAAAGACAACGUGUCAUGUUUACCCCCUGCGGUGAGCCACGUGAUUACUGAAAUAAGAUACCAAAUUUAAUGGUUUGCUAUCUACAGAUACCACUAAAUUCCACCUCUUUUUGAGUUGUAUUUACCAUAUUAUGCUUUAAAACAAACCUCAUAAACAUGGAGAACAGUUAUGUGAUAAUAUUCCCUAAGGCAAAAGAAUGGCAAAUGUGGCAAAGCAUAAACCACGCGGUCUGUGCUUUAGGAGAGACUGUUUCAUUACCGGCACCGAUUCCGUAAGAACUUCGGUUACAAGUUAAAUGCAUGUUCCAAGUUACCGGAGAACUCAGUGGCUUAGAACAGCAAGCAUUUAGUCGUGUGCAGUUUCCGUGGGUCAGGAAUCCAGGCAUCGUCACGUGAUCACGUGGUAGCAACGGCCGGGGUGUCUAGGCUCACUCGAGCCACUGCUGGCCUGUGGGUCCCGCCUCCCAGGAGCCACUCCACGGGGUCUAGGCUCACUUGAGCCACUGUUGGCCUGUGGGUCCCGCUCCCCAGCGGCCACUCCGUGGGGCUUCCUCUCAGCCUGGCAAGUGGCUCUCCCAGGGUGACGACUCCAGAGAGCAGACGCAAGACGGACCUGGGAGGCGAUUUCCCGUGCCUUCUGCCACAUUCUUUGGGCCAUCGAUACGCCCAGGCCUCACGAGGGAAGGGGCCCCACGUGGAGUGGGCACUUAGAGGCUGCCAAGCACAGGCACGAGGCUCGAGUGCACAGCCCGCGAUGUAAAAGCCAUCUCUUCUUCUGCCCAUCUGCCCAGGCGCAUUUUUCCAGAGCACAUUAACACAGCAUUUUCCAAAACUCUAAAAUCAUCCUCCAGUCUUUCAAACUCAAGGAAGAGAUGAACAGAACAUGUUAACCAUUAUCUUUAGAAAAUAACAAAGGGGGCAAAGUGGAGAGAGUAUAAUAUGGAAGACGUUCCUUCUGGAAAGCUCGUCCCGUGAAAAACAGUCUUUGCCAACUACGGUCAGAAGUAGAGCGAGCAACACCCACACAUCACCGGCGCUUCUAGCCUUUCUAAAAAGUGUUAAUUUAACUGUAUCAACAAAAAGAGAGGACACUCUGGUGUUUCGUACAAAUUGCACCUUGACCACUUCAUUAGAUGAGGGUCUCAGAAAGGGCUGAGGACACAAGAAUCCUCAAUGUGCACACGUUUUCUCUCUGGAUAAGGACCCUGUAAACUCUCAUUGAUAAAUGAAACAACAUACACAAAUAUUUGACAAAAUGACUAAAUAAUGGAGUGGGCACAAAGAUCCGAAUACUUUGUUUUCCCUCAUCAAAAGCAGGUCACAUGGUAAAAAUUUAAAGAUUCCGGCACAGCAGAACCAUGAUUGAUGGAAUAAAUAACCACAUUUAGUGAGAACACAUCAGGCACUGCGUAAUUUAACACAUCAUUACUUACUUUCGCAAGAAUCCCGAGGCCGCAACGAUCAUCAGUCCUCAUCUGACAAAUGGGAGGACCAAAGGCUCAGGAGGGUAACUCAUGCCCACUAGGCAGAGCAGUGGGUGAACGAGGGGAGUCUGGUCCUGCGGCCCACCUGCUUCUCCCGACGGCGAGCCGCCCCCUCUCCGAGACAGAAGAGGCACGGCUCCUCGAAGAGCUAACUGUGGCAGGGCAAAGUCUUGGAGGGAGUUAGCGCAGGAACGCACCUGGAUGACCGGAAGGAAGGAAAGACCAGCUGCUGGUACCAGGCCGUGACCGAUGGCAGGGAGCGUCAGAACAAGAGUGCACGGCGGUCAGUUCCCACCGCACCGUGCUGCCGCGGGGAAACGGAUUUCCGUCAAGGUCCCCGGACCGAAGGCUCGGGUCCUCCUUCCACCUAGAUUCAGUGGCAGCAGUGGGAUCGAAGGAGACUUCCAUCAGCUUUGAGAACAACAGGAAACUCAGGUAUGGCACCUGGGAACCCUUUUGAAUUCUCUAUCAUUCCUGUCUUCCCUGAGGGUCUGGGUCUGCUCUCUUGGCAUCAAGCUCUCGAUCUAAUCGGCUCUCUAGUCCGGGCAGGCCAGCUUGAGAUACCAGGCAGUUCCAUCUGGAACCGAAGCCACCAGUGCUUGAAACAGACCACAAUUCGCCAUCUGACUAGAACACCCCGGAUCCCAUACUGGGGACAGCCAGUGGCAGCUGUCGCUCCCCACUUGUUUGGAACCCGUCUGCAAUCCCCACUUUGGGGUCUGCUGGCUCUGCCCUUUCCCCAGGCCACGGCUCCACAGGAAUCGGAGGUACACGCCGGGCCUCCCCUAGGCCGGGCCGCAGUAACAUCCUGAGUAACUGUGGCGGUGCUGUGGGACGCACGUGUGUCUUACGUUGUGUACGUAAAGGCUAUCGCUAGUGAGUCUCAGAGGCUAAAAAGCCACAAGGAUUGGCAGACACGGGUGCAACACUGAAAUGCUGUUACGUUACUCCCCAUCCAGCCUAAAACUCAAUCAGGGUAAGUUGUACAUGGAACAGGUUCAACUGACAAUAGCUGUUCACCUCGUGAAAACGUCUCGUUACCUACAGUGACAAGGUAAGCUGCAAAACAUCACAUCAUUCCCUCCCCACGGUACAUCCCUUUUAGGUACUAGCUUGGCUUAGCUAAAAAUAACGGAACUGAACUAAUUAAUAAGAAGAAGAACGGAAUCCUUAAGUUCCAAGGAGUUGAGUGAGUCACUUUCCAGCACUAACGGCACCCCAGAAUUACCACGGCUGUCAUGAGGACCAUUCUCAUUAGACAAGAUCACUCACGUCGGAAGUGCCCUGGAGAGCAAGGGUUCCCAGAUUAGACACACUGAAAGGGACGCCUGAUUUUUUUACCGGUAUACUGAAAUGUUGAAAAGCCUUCAAAAGUCCCAAAUAGCUUCAUUAAAAAUCUCUUUGCAAAAGGCUAAUGAAUAUUUAAAAAUGCGAGAUCAUGAACACAAGUCCACUAAACUGUUAACUUUACAGCUCCAAGGCCAGAGGCCUAAGUGAUACCUGGGUCCUGCCUCAUCCCUCCUACGGUGGGGUCCAUCAUGGAAACAAUGGCCCAGGGGGUCCAGCAUCUCUACUGUAAUCAACCAGGGCCAUGGGAAAACAGACUGUCCUCAACCGGCCUGUGCAAGCAUUUCAACAUCUCUGCCCCUAAAGAAGAGCCCCCGGGGGCGCCUGGGUGGCGCAGUCGGUUGAGCGUCCGACUUCAGCCAGGUCAGAUCUCGCGGUCUGUGAGUUCGAGCCCCGCGUCAGGCUCUGGGCUGAUGGCUCGGAGCCUGGAGCCUGUUUCCGAUUCUGUGUCUCCCUCUCUCUCUGCCCCUCCCCCGUUCAUGCUCUGUCUCUCUCUGUCCCAAAAAUAAAUAAACGUUGAAAAGAAAAAAAAAGAAGAGCCCCCAUAUGGGCCGCUCCUCCAGCUGACAGCCUCCAAAGGACUCUCGGAUAAACUGCUACCAGUAAUCCCCUUAAAAGAGCAAAGGGGUAACUAAAUAUUAAAACGAAUGAAAGAACUGGCCAAACUCGGGUAGAUUCCGGAGCUAUCCUCUCCACCUCAAACCUCACUUGCAGCCUGCAGACAGGAUCCUGGAAAACACGAAGGGGCUGGCUAACAUUGAAACAUCACAUAAGGAAAAGUAGGAUGUGGGUUUCUGGUAAGAGAAGGUGUGGGAAACGGAGAUCUAUUUUUUAUUGAGGGACAAGAAAGUCCUUUUGUCCUAAAGGGAGGAGACUACAGAAUGGGGGGGAGAAAAAAAGCCCCAAAUCUGAACACAAAUUAAAAAGUGGUAGAUUUGUAGCUCAAGCUGGCUAAGUUUGAAAUGGACCUAAUGAUUAAAUUCAAAAAAGUAAAUGAAUUUUAUUAUCAAAACUACACUGGUACAAAAUUACACUUGGCUUUCUUCUGUCAACGGGACAAAGUUUUCUUAGAUUAUUGGUCUGCUCCUGACUAGGGACUCUGAAGGGUUUUCCUUAAAGCGAUCUUCCUAGAAAGCAGAGUCUGUGUUUUAUCAAAAUGAUCUCCUACACUCCAUGUUGUCACCAUCAUCUCUUUGACUUACGGAGACUCCUCAAUUAAAAGAGCCAAGGCUUAUUUUUUACAAUGACUUAACUUCCUGGAUUUGCCCCUAAAGUCCUUAACUGUCACUACAGUUAAAUACAUGACUAAGUAUUGUUUCUCCUGCGAUCCUAUCUGACCAAGUAUUUUAAAGCCGUCAGGUAGUUUUGACAAAUAAAUCAAAUUCUAAAUCAAGUCUUCUUGACCUUGAACUAGCUUUGGGAUUCUCCAAAGGGCCAAACAGCUCAAGACAUUUGCUCUCUCUCCUUAUGAAAAUGGAGAUGUUAAUCUAAUUAAGCUUAUGUUAAAUUACAUGGGACGCAUCCUCAAAUAAGAAUACUGAGCCCUUUUUCUGUUGUAUGUAUCUUAAAAUAUUCUAUAUUUUGGACAUGAUCUUAUUUUUUGUAAGUUUGUUUGUGUAUUUAGAGAGACUAAGUGAGCAGGGAGGGGCAGGGAGCAAGAGAAUCCCAAGCAGGCUCCGCACUGUCAGCACAGAGCCCAACACAGGGCUUGAACUCAUGAACUAUGAGAUCAUGACAUGAGCUGAGCUCAAAUUGGAGGCUUAACCAGCUGAGCCACCCGGGUGCCUCUAGACAUGAUCUUAAAAUACUGUAUUACAGAAAUAACUACAUUUCCUUAUCAAAUGAACUCUGGUCAGACCUUUAACAAUGGGCAUUGCAAGUUUCUGUCGUUUACAGAGAGUACUUGCACUUAGAUGCUUUCACAAAAGUGUUCCUGCAAACGUGCUUCAUCUUCAGAAAGAUUCACAGAAAGGACCUGGACAACAGGAUUCUGAAAACUUUAAGAUAACAAAGCUACUGGGUAAGAAUUUCCAAAACUAAUGGAAAAACUAGAUUCAAGAAAAGAUUAAUUACAUGGGACUGAACUUAUUAGCAGGAUGAUGAGAACUCUUUUUUUUUAACAAUAGCAUGUACCUUUGUAAACAAACAUGGAACAUUUACCUUUUCCCCCCUCUGAUCCAUCCAGAUUUUAGAAACUCUUGAGUAUUCUUUUCAUGGCAACGUAAUUAGUUAUCUGCUCCAGUUCAACGGUAAUCUGUUUUCCUCGUACAGGACACAGUUGGAAACACUGGCUAUGUUACCAAAGCUUUCACUGAAAUGGUAUUUGCAGGUAAAAUCUGAUGGGGAGUCCUUGGCAUGGCUUCCUGGCCUCAGGGAAAGGUUCCUUAUCAAAGUUUUCAGCAAAGGGGCGCCAGGGUGGCUCACAGCGUCGACUUGACGUCGGCCCAGGUCAUGAUCUCGCGGUUCGUGGGUUCAAACCCCCACAUCGGGCUCCAGGCUAACAGUGCAACGCCUACUGAGGAUUCUCUCCCCAGCCCCUCCCUUUUCUCUCUGCCCUUCCCCUGCUCACUCACGCUCUCUCACUCUCAAAAACAAAUAAAUAAUUUUCAGCAAAGCAGUCUUUAAAAAGAGCUAUGUGGUCAAUCUCUAUUCUUCUACUUACACAAAUAACAAGCCAAGUUGAAUGCAAAUAAAUCAGUUUUACUGUGAUUAUCUUUAGUAAAAAUGUAGGGGUGAUCAGAGAAAGAAAAAUUAUGUCUGUACCUUUGUAAAUACCAGAUUCUAGUCCUGUUAACUGUCUCCCAGGUUUUGUUAUAUACCUGUAAACUGGGCUGGAUCCUGAACUCUUCUAGUUUCCUCAAAUGUCUGGGGAUGACUUUCUGAACUAGUAUUUCCCGUGUUCUCCCAUCCUUCUAAUUUGGAAUGACGAGAAACAAAGACUGCCCUUGGAUCUCCUCGGAAGGCGCAAUACCAGGUGCUCCUCACUACUCAGACGGCAGCCGAGCUUUAGCGACUGGGACCUUGGGUACCCAUCUCACAGCUGAAGAGCGCUCCACCUGACAUCCGGUCCUGUGUAGAUGCUAGAGACCCCCAAAUAAAAUUGACUAGGAAGAGAAGUAGCCGACAUCAAAGUAGCCUGCUUUCUCCCAAGACGUCAGAUCAAGACAUCGUAAUUUCACUAAACGUGAAACUUUUUUCUUUUCUGUCUUUCCUUUACUCUGACACUGGCCUGUAAAGAUAAUGCUGUCAGUCAUAUUCCCCAGGCCAUUGCUGAAUGAAAUGACCAUUCGGACUGUUCUGGAUUUGUAAUCAGACACCGAUCUGUCCAUGAUGCUGCACUCCAUUAACAGUGCCACGGUACCGGGCAGGGUUUGUGCACCAACGUGAUUUCUCUUUGUCUGCGGUAGUUAUCAUUCUCCUCGGACCUGUGAAUACCUAGAAGGCUGGCGCUUAACUGGGCAAUGCCUCUUAGGAUUCUAAUUGCACCUGACCGCAAAUGAAUGGAGACACCUCACGUGUCAACUGUCCAGGAUUUACAUCAUCGAGUUUCAAAAGGACCUCCCGGCUCCUUUCAUAACCCUCUGGCAGGCCCCAACUUCCCUGGUUGGGAGUAAAUGUAAACAAGGCUAUCAUCAGGAACCUCUCCUUAACUCGUGAAAGUACUGCAGAAUCCACCGCUAAGACAGCUGCCCAACCAGAACCCAGAGACGCUCUGGCCAAAGUUGUUCUUGAAAACAGGACAGACCUUGACUUGCUUUUGGCUGGGCUGUGGCAGCCACCACCUGUUGUACCUGGAUUAACACUCUUGGGGAAGUUGAAACUCAGCUACGUCGGAUCACUGAGAGAGCCAUUUGGCUUAAGAAAAGUACUCCUUCAACGGGGUCUUUCUACGGCUUAUUCGAUUCUGACUGGUUUGGGUCAUAAGAACCCGUGUCUGGUAUCUUUGCCACAAGCAUCUGUGCCACCAACAUUUUUGCCACGUAACUAACUGGCCACAAAGCAAUUUGCCAUAAAAGAUAAAGUAACGUGAAAGAGGGACACUUGUGAAAAAGGACAUAAUGAAGCAUGAAAAAUAAGUAACAAAAGUAAAGAGAUUUUAUCAUGCAUACAAAACAUGACACUUAAAUGUGUGUGGAUUCAUGGCAAUACUGUGCAAACGUGAUACUAUUUUGUGGACUGUACGUAAGCACUUGGUUCUAAAGUCCUUUGUUCAGAGCAGUAUACAUAUAGAUUCUUUGCUUAUUGAUUUGUUACCUCGUUCUGUGCUGUACGUUUUCUCUUCUUGAUGAAAUUUCUCCCUUCGUUAAGAGAAUAUCCGUUUCCAAACGCGAAGAUGCGUAUUUGUCGCUGAGCUUUGUGUUGUCUUGCCAAAGCUUUCCAUGCUGUCGCGUGUUCCUGGCGUACUGCCCACGUGUCCGUGUACAGAGGUUCCAAAGUUCUGUGGGAAAUGUGGCUUCACCUCUGUGCCUUCCGGUCCCUCAGUCUUGCUCCUCCAAUCCAGGGUUUCAAAAUAAGAAACGAGCGCCUGCCGCAGGUCCGGCAGGUCAGGGUCACACGUCGGCUCCACAAAGCCACGCGUCACGUUGCCAACUGGAAGGAACGCUAACGCUGUGAUGCAUUUGAUUUUCUGUUAAAUUCCGCAUCUGUCUGCCAGCACAACUUCUAUCUGAUACCAGUGGUUUUGGGGUCAGGGUUUUUUGCCACAUGAAACAAACAGCCAGUUAGAGUGGUACCCAGGUAUUCUUCUAAAGGAAGAGACAAUACUUUUUCUUCAAAGUCAACCAUUAGGGACUCGGGACCUACUCUUGGACAUUAAGCGCUUUAGUGUACAAAAAAAGUCUGCUCCCCGGCGGUAAUUCGAACAGACAAGAGCUACUACUGUUACUGAUCGCUACGUGCGACAUACGCUUCAACGUUCCGCCACGUAACCCGUCCCUUAGAGUUCACCUAAUCAUCAAAGGCAGAUUCUGUGUAAAUACCUGAAUUCUGCCUACACCACGUUCUCCGCUACCAAACGGCAAAAAGUUUUCGACGUUUUCCAGAAACAUACUCCUCAGGAAUGACACAACCAUUUCUUUUCAGGAGCUAAGUGGAACUUGACUCUUCUUUUGCUGCAACUACAGAUACUGCUGCGUGAAUUGGUAAAGACGGCACUGGAGAACAAGCGAUUGUGUCUCAAUGAGGCAAAGAGGCAGUAAUUAAUGCUCUCAAAACCCAGCUGCAUCCUUUGUAUUGGCCAUAGCUCAGGAAGCUUUUGGUUUGGACGAGUGGGAGGGGAGGAGCACUGGGCAAGGACCCGCAGACGACAGGCUAUCACUCUGGUGCAGUGUGCAGUCUGGCUGUACGCUCCCACCUCACGCUACGGCGUCACCCGCCAUCUGGGGACCGCCACAUCGACUCAUCACCGUAUAGACCACUACGAGAUCUAAGGUUUAUAUGAAAUUAAACAUGGGAGCACCAAGUUGACAGAAAAGUGAAACUGUCAACCAGUUGGGUUUUUUUUUUUAAUGUUUUAUGGCAAAAGUGCCUUCCAAGCUAUUAAUUAGUUAAUGCCUUAAAUUUCGGUCCCAUCUCUCUCAGUUAAGCUCAGAGUCUAAUCAAAAGUGAGGAACUGUUUCAAAAAUGCAACAAUGGGCCCAAAAUGGGAGUCACUUGUGCCAAGCCCCACAUCAACCACCAAGACUUAAUACCUAACCUAACUGUAGCCUCGGCCUCCCCCAAACACGUCACCCCUAACCAAUCAAUUUGGGAUUGCCUGGUCAGCACCAGUGAGGCCAUCUGCCUGACAGACCACUUCUUCCCUCAAAGGAAGGUGACCUUGCCUAAAACAACCCACUCUUUGCCAGAAAUUUCCGUUUUCUGCCCCUUCUGCCUGUAAAGCCUUCCAUUUUAUACAGCUCCUUGGAGCUCUGUUCUGUUUGAUAAAAUGGAAUGCUGUCCAAUUCACGAAUCAUUAAAUAAAGCCAAUUAAUGUUCGAAUUUACUCAGUUGAAUUUUCUUCUUUAACAGAGUCUACACCCAAUGAACAUAUUCUUCAAGAAUGAAGGCAAAAACAUGAAGAUAAAACUCUGUCCGUUUCUCAUAGCAAUAUCAGACUGAAACAAAGCCAUUCAAAAACAAACAUACAAAAAUGAGAAAAAUCCUUAAUAAUGUGGAUCUAUAGCCCCAAACCUAUAGGUAGUAAAAGGAUUAAUGCAUUUUUAAAAAGCUCACAGGGCGGGGGGCACAUUCACUAAGCAAAGUUUGAAGACAAAUUAGUAAAUAGGGAAACUGGUAAAGCGGGGGUAAAUGGGCAAUUGGGGAAAAAAAAAAGGCACACAGAA